RNAcentral lists this ribosomal RNA (460 nucleotides) under uncultured bacterium. RNAcentral's name for it is "partial 16S ribosomal RNA". It matches the Rfam family "Bacterial small subunit ribosomal RNA", at positions 338 to 795 of the family's 1533-position model. The record is from RNAcentral.
CCUACGGGUGGCAGCAGUGAGGAAUAUUGGUCAAUGGUCGGGAGACUGAACCAGCCAAGCCGCGUGAGGGAUGAAGGUACAGAGUAUCGUAAACCUCUUUUGUCAGGGAACAAAGGCGGGGACGUGUCCCCGGAUGCGUGUACCUGAAGAAAAAGCAUCGGCUAACUCCGUGCCAGCAGCCGCGGUAAUACGGAGGGUGCGGGCGUUAUCCGGAUUUAUUGGGUUUAAAGGGUGCGCAGGCGGGUCGUUAAGUCAGCCGGCAAAUCGCGUGGCUCAACCCCGGGCCGGCGGUUGAAACUGGCAGUCUCGAGUUGGAGAGAGGUAUGCGGAAUGCGCGGUGUAGCGGUGAAAUGCAUAGAUAUCGCGCAGAACUCCGAUUGCGAAGGCAGCAUGCCGGCUCCACACUGACGCUGAGGCACGAAAGCGUGGGUAUCGAACAGGAUUAGAUACCCGUGUAGUC